Molecule: small nuclear RNA, 107 nt
Organism: Otolemur garnettii (small-eared galago)
Lineage: Eukaryota; Metazoa; Chordata; Mammalia; Primates; Galagidae
Source: Ensembl
GUGCUCACUUGAGCAGCACACAUACUAAAAUUGAAACGAUACAGAGAAGGUUAGCGCGGCCCCUAUGCAAGGACGACACGUAAAUUCAUGAAGCCUUUCAUAUAAAA